RNAcentral lists this long non-coding RNA (273 nucleotides) under Ananas comosus (pineapple). RNAcentral's name for it is "long non-coding RNA (ACOM_LNC036804)". The record is from RNAcentral. Lineage: Eukaryota; Viridiplantae; Streptophyta; Magnoliopsida; Poales; Bromeliaceae.
AAAUUCUGAUAAUUUUGGUACUUAAUGGGAUGUGAUAUGUGAUAUUGUUAGAUUAAUUAUUAACUAGUGUAGUAAUUCGUGCGAUGCGACAGAUAAAUAAGUAGAGAAAAAAUAAAAAACAGCAACAAAAAAAGAGAAAACUACGAUAAAAGAAGUGACGAUAAGGGGAGGAAUUCAUCUUGUUGAUAAAGGAAGGUAAGAGCCGAAGGAAGUGGAAGAGGAAUAGUUCGGCUCAAUGUAGAGGUAUGAUCCAGUUCGAUUCAAUCACAAAAA